This 79-nucleotide small RNA is filed under the name Flavobacterium sinopsychrotolerans. RNAcentral describes it as "Flavo-1 RNA". It matches the Rfam family "Flavo-1 RNA". The record is from RNAcentral. Lineage: Bacteria; Pseudomonadati; Bacteroidota; Flavobacteriia; Flavobacteriales; Flavobacteriaceae.
ACUUAGCCCCGAUGGAAGGGAAAAUCCUUUUUGUUCUUUCUUUAAGAACAAAAAGAUUGGAAUGACAGCGGGAACGAUA